GACAGAGGGUGCAAACGUUGUUCGGAAUUACUGGGCGUAAAGCGUGUGUAGGCGGCCGCGCAAGUCGGAUGUGAAAUCCCCGGGCUCAACCCGGGAAGGGCACCCGAAACUGCACGGCUCGAGUACCGGAGAGGUUGGUGGAAUUCUCGGUGUAGAGGUGAAAUUCGUAGAUAUCGGGAGGAACACCAGUGGCGAAGGCGGCGACCUGGGCCAAUAUUGACGCUGAGGUGCGAAAGCGUGGGGAGCAAACAGG
This 253-nucleotide ribosomal RNA is filed under the name uncultured bacterium. RNAcentral's name for it is "partial 16S ribosomal RNA". It matches the Rfam family "Bacterial small subunit ribosomal RNA", at positions 524 to 776 of the family's 1533-position model. The record is from RNAcentral.